Molecule: unclassified non-coding RNA, 339 nt
Filed under: soil metagenome
Description: partial contains 5.8S ribosomal RNA, internal transcribed spacer 2, and large subunit ribosomal RNA
Rfam family: 5.8S ribosomal RNA (bases 1-120)
Source: RNAcentral
GAUGAAGAACGUAGCGAAAUGCGAUAAGUAGUGUGAAUUGCAGAAUUCAGUGAAUCAUCGAAUCUUUGAACGCACAUUGCGCCUUCUAGUAUUCUGGGAGGCAUGCCUGUUUGAGCGUCAUUUCAACCCCUCGGGCCCCCCAGCGGGCCCGGUGCUGGGGGACGGCCCCGCGCCGCCCCCGAAACGCAGUGGCGACCCCGCCGCAGCCUCCCCUGCGCAGUAAUGCACCUCGCACCGGAGCGCGGAGGCGGUCACGCCGUGAAACGAACCCCUUCUAGGAGUUGACCUCGGAUCAGGUAGGAGUACCCGCUGAACUUAAGCAUAUCAAUAAGCGGAGGA